RNAcentral lists this long non-coding RNA (1432 nucleotides) under Olea europaea subsp. europaea. Lineage: Eukaryota; Viridiplantae; Streptophyta; Magnoliopsida; Lamiales; Oleaceae. The record is from RNAcentral.
AUUAAUAUCAAUAAUUGAGUGAAAUUCAUCCAUUUAAACUGUAGAGUUUAAAGUGUAGUAUAUAAAAGAUUAUUACAAUUACAAUGCGGAAUAAUAAACUCUCAAAGUGUAAAAUCGAACAAAAAACGACCCAAAGCUUCUUCAACACCACCAAUGAAGUGUUCUUGAUGUUGAGCUCAGAUUUGUGCCAUACUGGAUUAUGCACCGUAGUCCACGGGAAUGGCAAUGGAUAAAUCGAGGAAGGAUCUGGCAGAAGCCACCAAGAAUUUCGCCGGAGUUAUGACAAACUCCCACUUGGUUGCCUCUCUAUGCUCUCUCUCAAAUGUUAUGCCAAGUCCAAGAAUGAGAGAAUGAAAAGGUCUUGUAAUUGUAGAGCCAAUUCAUUUGAAUUCAAAAUUCAAAUAUUGUACUAUGGUCAACAAGAGAGUGACAACACUAGUAUAGGUAAUUGAUCACAAGAUUAAAUCCAACGAUUGGAUUUAAUCUAUGGUCCAAUACUCCAUAACUAGCACAAUCUAAGUCACAUUCUCUAGACCAAUCAACUUGUACCAAUAAUAGGAUGUGAUCCACCUUACAAGUCUUUACCUUGGAUCACAUAACAUCCAUCGCCAAAUUCCCCGGUUACAAGUGAUAUCCAUUAGUGUGGCCUUAUUUUUAUCAUCAUCGCUCACUCCAACUUAGUACCUGCACAACAAUUAACCAUUAUCAAUACUUAAUAUUGAUAAACAUUUGUUGACUUACCAAUCGCAAGUACUUUUGUUCCAACAUCUGCAGGGUUAUCAUCAGUUGCAAUUUGAAGCAAAAUAAAAUUACCAGAAGCUAACAUCUUCCUAAUGAAGUGAUACUUCACCUCAAUAUUCUUUAUUACAUUCAUGAUAAACAUGAUUUUUACACAACAUCAAUGAACUUUGACUAUCAGUAAAAAUCAUAGCGUUAUCAUUCAAGAAGUUUAAUUCACAUAGAAGGCCUUUCAGCCACAUGCUUUCCUUUACAGCUUUAUUUAAUGCAACAUAUUCUGCUUCAGUGCUGGAAAGUAUAGCUAUAGGUUGCAACUGUAAUUUCCAAGUGAUACAAUUAUCACCUAAAGUGAAGAAGUAAGAAGUGAUAGAUUUCCUCUGAUCUUUAUCCCCCACAAAGUCAGAAUCUACAUAUCAUUUAAGUUCUAAUUUGUUACUUCUUCUUUCAAACACUAAUCCCCUUUUUAAAGAUCCAGCUAGGUAUCUUAAUAGCCAUUUAAAUGUAAUCCAAUGUGGUUUGCCUGGGUUAGACAUAAACCUACUCAAGAAACUAAUUGCAUAUGCAAGGUCCGGUCUUGUGGUAAUCAUAGAAUACUAUACAGACCCAAUGGCAUUAGCAUAGGGAACAUUACUCAUUUCAUGCAUUUCCUCUUCAGUUUUAGGGCAUUGUGUAGAUGAUAAGUUCGUGUGUGCAA